RNAcentral lists this ribosomal RNA (617 nucleotides) under uncultured bacterium. RNAcentral describes it as "bacterial SSU rRNA". It matches the Rfam family "Bacterial small subunit ribosomal RNA", at positions 338 to 951 of the family's 1533-position model. The record is from RNAcentral.
CCUACGGGAGGCAGCAGUGGGGAAUUUUGGACAAUGGGCGAAAGCCUGAUCCAGCAAUGCCGCGUGAGUGAAGAAGGCCUUCGGGUUGUAAAGCUCUUUUGUCAGGGAAGAAACGGUGAAAGCUAAUAUCUUUUGCUAAUGACGGUACCUGAAGAAUAAGCACCGGCUAACUACGUGCCAGCAGCCGCGGUAAUACGUAGGGUGCAAGCGUUAAUCGGAAUUACUGGGCGUAAAGCGUGCGCAGGCGGUUUUGUAAGUCUGAUGUGAAAUCCCCGGGCUCAACCUGGGAAUUGCAUUGGAGACUGCAAGGCUAGAAUCUGGCAGAGGGGGGUAGAAUUCCACGUGUAGCAGUGAAAUGCGUAGAUAUGUGGAGGAACACCGAUGGCGAAGGCAGCCCCCUGGGUCAAGAUUGACGCUCAUGCACGAAAGCGUGGGGAGCAAACAGGAUUAGAUACCCUGGUAGUCCACGCCCUAAACGAUGUCUACUAGUUGUCGGGUCUUAAUUGACUUGGUAACGCAGCUAACGCGUGAAGUAGACCGCCUGGGGAGUCGGUCGCAAGNUUAAAACUCAAAUGAAAUUGACGGCUGAGACGNGCGAGGCGACACGAGGGAGGAGG